AUUCCAUCUAUUCUAGUCUAUUCUAGUCUAUUCUAGUCUAUUCUAGUCUAGCCUAGUCUAGCCUAGUGUAUUCAUUACAGGGAAAGCAAAAAUGAUUCUGUGGCUGAAUUUGGUGUCCUUUCUUGCACUUCUUGGAGGUGUCCAAUCUGACGUCCAAUUGGUGGAGUCUGGAGGGGGUGUGAUAAGACCUGGAGAAUCCCUCCAACUCUCCUGCCAAACCUCUGGAUUCUCCUUCAAUGGCUCUUACAUGGGCUGGGUGAGACAGGCUCCUGGGAAAGGAUUGGAAUGGGUGGCCUAUAUAAGUCCUGGUUCUGGUGCUUACUACUCAGACAAAGUGAAGGGACGCUUCACCAUCUCCAGGGACAAUGCCAAAAGCCAGAUGUAUCUGCAAAUGAACAGCCUCAACGCUGAAGACAUGGCGGUCUAUUACUGUAUGAGAGGCAUAUAUUGCUAA
This is a non-coding RNA of Crotalus tigris (Tiger rattlesnake), 454 nucleotides long. The record is from the annotation of a RefSeq genome assembly. Lineage: Eukaryota; Metazoa; Chordata; Lepidosauria; Squamata; Viperidae.